CAGCAGCCGCGGUAAUACGGAGGGUGCAAGCGUUAAUCGGAAUUACUGGGCGUAAAGCGCACGCAGGCGGUCUGUCAAGUCGGAUGUGAAACCCCCGGGCUCAACCUGGGAACUGCAUUCGAAACUGGCAGGCUAGAGUCUUGUAGAGGGGGGUAGAAUUCCAGGUGUAGCGGUGAAAUGCGUAGAGAUCUGGAGGAAUACCGGUGGCGAAGGCGGCCCCCUGGACAAAGACUGACGCUCAGGUGCGAAAGCGUGGGGAGCAAACAGGAUUAGAUACCCGCGUAGUCCCUGUCUCUUAUAC
This 301-nucleotide ribosomal RNA is filed under the name uncultured bacterium. RNAcentral's name for it is "partial 16S ribosomal RNA". It matches the Rfam family "Bacterial small subunit ribosomal RNA", at positions 509 to 807 of the family's 1533-position model. The record is from RNAcentral.